RNAcentral lists this ribosomal RNA (276 nucleotides) under Triticum aestivum (bread wheat). Its description in RNAcentral is "partial small subunit ribosomal RNA". The record is from RNAcentral. Lineage: Eukaryota; Viridiplantae; Streptophyta; Magnoliopsida; Poales; Poaceae.
AUGAGGAACCCUAGGGAUAUAUUGUUGCCACCAUUGAACGCGAUAACAACGUCAGGGGCAUUGAACUGUUUGGUAUGGAAUUGUCGUGAGAUUGUUGGGUCCUGGACAGCUUGUGACCUUGUGUCCCUCAAUCAAGUGCAUCAUCCUCAUUUUAUCUUCUUAUGUGAGACUACACAAAACAAAGAGAAAGUUCUGCGUCUCUGCAAUCGUCUAGGCUUGAGAGGAUUUUCUAGAGUUAGCAGUGGAGGGUUUAGUGAAGGCUUGGCCCUCUUCUAG